This 441-nucleotide ribosomal RNA is filed under the name beta proteobacterium SCGC AAA280-P07. Its description in RNAcentral is "bacterial SSU rRNA". It matches the Rfam family "Bacterial small subunit ribosomal RNA", at positions 354 to 787 of the family's 1533-position model. Lineage: Bacteria; Pseudomonadati; Pseudomonadota; Betaproteobacteria. The record is from RNAcentral.
GUGGGGAAUUUUGGACAAUGGGGGCAACCCUGAUCCAGCCAUUCCGCGUGAGUGAAGAAGGCCUUCGGGUUGUAAAGCUCUUUCGCAAGGGAAGAAAACUUAUGAUCNAAUAAAUCAUGAGGUUGACGGUACCUUGAUAAGAAGCACCGGCUAACUACGUGCCAGCAGCCGCGGUAAUACGUAGGGUGCGAGCGUUAAUCGGAAUUACUGGGCGUAAAGCGUGCGCAGGCGGUUUUGUAAGUCGGAUGUGAAAUCCCCGGGCUCAACCUGGGAACUGCGUUCGAAACUGCAAGGCUAGAGUGUGUCAGAGGGGGGUAGAAUUCCACGUGUAGCAGUGAAAUGCGUAGAGAUGUGGAGGAAUACCAAUGGCGAAGGCAGCCCCCUGGGAUAACACUGACGCUCAUGCACGAAAGCGUGGGGAGCAAACAGGAUUAGAUACCC